RNAcentral lists this unclassified non-coding RNA (413 nucleotides) under Phebalium lepidotum. RNAcentral describes it as "partial external transcribed spacer". The record is from RNAcentral. Lineage: Eukaryota; Viridiplantae; Streptophyta; Magnoliopsida; Sapindales; Rutaceae.
GUGCAUCGAACUGCCGACUCCCUAUCUGCUUCAGUCUUUCCCCAAGAGAAGAUCCUUCCUUGUGGGAGCUUAUGGUAUCCUGUGUUGCUUACCCACGAAAUGGAAUUCGAUGGCUUUGCUGUGUUGAUCCGUCAUGUGCCCUUUGGGGUGUGGGACGGACGUGAGGCGGGCUCUGUGUUCCCGACGUGCCUAGUGUGUUAUCGCUUGGUCGUUGUUGCCCAUGGAGUCUCUGCUCGUUCUCUCGGAUGCGGAAUGCUAUGCAGGGGCGUGAGGUCUUCACCUCAUACGCCCAAGCACUGUCCCUUGACUCGAACGACUGCUGUGCUCGUCUUUGAUCUUCCCGACCAAGGCCUCGUAGUGGGGCUUACUGGACGAGGGUUGCUCAUGCGGGCUUCAGCGUCGAAGAGGAAUGC